GUAGUUGACUACUAGCAGUAAAAGCAACUCUGCAACAAAUCUCUCUCUCUGAGCAGCAAUAAUUGCCUUCAAGUUGUACACUUCUAUAUCAUUGUAAGCUUAGCUAGCUAGCUAGCUCAUUUCCAUCUCUUAAACUGCCAUCGCAAGUCUUUUCUUUGUACCAAACACAAUCAUCCACUUAUAUUCUUGAUACAAGCCAUCAACUGUGGCCACUUCAACUCCUAGUACCCUCACCACCGCCAAAACAUGGCCACCACCGCCACAUCCAGUUACUACCACUACCACUACCUUCCCACCUGAUCAUACAAGCAUGUUAGGCCUUCACAACAUACUCUUUAUAGCUCCACCACCUUCUUUUCACCACCACCAGCCUCCACACAUUCCCUCUACUCACCAAAUAGCCAACACCAAUGAUCAAUGUAACAUUGCAAACAAUCAAGAGUCUUGGACCACUCUCAAUAAAUAUCAGCAAAAAUCUAGUUUUUUUAAAAGGGGUGAUUUAAAUGUUGUUGGGGAUAAUGAUACUGGUAGGAAUAUUGGUCCUGCAAGAGCUUGCAGGGACUGUGGAAACAGGGCAAAGAAAGAGUGCCAGUAUAGGAGGUGCAGGACUUGUUGCAAGAGUAGAGAGUAUGAUUGUACCACUCACAUGAAGAGCACAUGGGUGUCUGCUGCGAGGAGGCGAGAGAGGCUUGGUUGUGGCGGUGGCGGUGACUCUUCUGCUUCUUCUGGUGGUGGCUGUGUUGGUGGUAAAAGGCCAAGAGAAAAUGCGACUGCUACAUCUAAUAGUUUUAGUACUUCUAAUAACAAUGCCGCUGCUUCUGUCAAUUUCGAUACAGGCUCCAGUUAUCAGGAUGCAAGCUUCAAACUGUCUUUACCUGGCCAAGUCCGUGAACCGGCAGUUUUCAGGUGCGUUAGAGUAACAGCCAUUAAUAGUGGUGAAGCUGAGGUUGCCUAUCAAGCUAAGGUGAAUAUAAGUGGCCAUGUUUUCAAGGGCAUUCUUUAUGAUCAAGGGAUCGACGAGAAAAACCUGUUUCCAUGUGUUUCAAAAAUGCAGUCUGGUGAAAGGACUAGAGACUCCACCUCGCCAAUUGUUGAACCAUCCGUUGCCUACGCAGCCACAGGGAACCACAGAUUGCUUGAAGCCGACGAGACUCUACGUUGUGCUUAAAUUUACUGCUGGAGCUUGCAGCAGAAUGGAUAAUCUCAAUAAUGUUGGGUUAUGCUUUUCCUUUUUGAUGGAGUGGAAGGAUAUUUGUCCUAGUUAUAAGAUCUAGCCUUGUCUGAUACGUGAUUUGUCAACCCGGGUACUGGCCUCGCCAGGUAAUGGAUGAGAUCCACUGCUGUGUGGUGUGGCUACAAGGCAGAAGGCGUGAAUCCACCUCUUCUCUUAAAUUGUAUGUACUGGAAAGGGAUUUCAUAGUUUUUCCUAGUUUUGCUUCUGAGGUGAAACUUUUUUGCUGUUCUUAAUGCCUUGUUCAGUUCGAAUUUUCCCUCUCUUUAAUGGUGGACAAAGAAAAAUUCUUGGAAGAACACAGUUCUAAAAGUU
RNA transcript from Populus euphratica (Euphrates poplar), 1546 nucleotides. It is a transcript of the gene named protein LATERAL ROOT PRIMORDIUM 1-like, with no coding region annotated. The transcript has 5 exons. Lineage: Eukaryota; Viridiplantae; Streptophyta; Magnoliopsida; Malpighiales; Salicaceae. The record is from RefSeq and is a predicted model, not a curated record.